UGCCAGACUCCUACGGGAGGCAGCAGUGGGGAAUAUUGCACAAUGGGGGAAACCCUGAUGCAGCGACGCCGCGUGAGCGAUGAAGUAUUUCGGUAUGUAAAGCUCUAUCAGCAGGGAAGAAAAUGACAGUACCUGACUAAGAAGCCCCGGCUAACUACGUGCCAGCAGCCGCGGUAAUACGUAGGGGGCAAGCGUUAUCCGGAUUUACUGGGUGUAAAGGGAGCGUAGACGGCGAUGCAAGCCAGAUGUGAAAGCCCGGGGCUCAACCCCGGGACUGCAUUUGGAACUGUGUGGCUGGAGUGUCGGAGAGGCAAGUGGAAUUCCUAGUGUAGCGGUGAAAUGCGUAGAUAUUAGGAGGAACACCAGUGGCGAAGGCGGCUUGCUGGACGAUGACUGACGUUGAGGCUCGAAAGCGUGGGGAGCAAACAGGAUUAGAUACCCCGGUACC
RNAcentral lists this ribosomal RNA (448 nucleotides) under uncultured bacterium. Its description in RNAcentral is "bacterial SSU rRNA". It matches the Rfam family "Bacterial small subunit ribosomal RNA", at positions 329 to 794 of the family's 1533-position model. The record is from RNAcentral.